AACGCUAGCUACAGGCUUAACACAUGCAAGUCGAGGGGCAGCAUGAACUUAGCUUGCUAAGUUUGAUGGCGACCGGCGCACGGGUGAGUAACGCGUAUCCAACCUUCCGUACACUCAGGAAUAGCCUUUCGAAAGAAAGAUUAAUACCCGAUGGUAUAAAGAGUUCGCAUGUUCUCUUUAUUAAAGAAUUUCGGUAAGCGAUGGGGAUGCGUUCCAUUAGAUAGUUGGCGGGGUAACGGCCCACCAAGUCUACGAUGGAUAGGGGUUCUGAGAGGAAGGUCCCCCACAUUGGAACUGAGACACGGUCCAAACUCCUACGGGAGGCAGCAGUGAGGAAUAUUGGUCAAUGGACGAGAGUCUGAACCAGCCAAGUAGCGUGAAGGAUGACUGCCCUAUGGGUUGUAAACUUCUUUUAUAAGGGAAUAAAGUGAGGGACGUGUCCCUUUUUGUAUGUACCUUAUGAAUAAGGAUCGGCUAACUCCGUGCCAGCAGCCGCGGUAAUACGGAGGAUCCAAGCGUUAUCCGGAUUUAUUGGGUUUAAAGGGAGCGUAGGUUGACAUAUAAGUCAGCUGUGAAAGUUUACGGCUCAACCGUGAAAUUGCAGUUGAUACUGUAUGUCUUGAGUGUACAAGAGGUGGGCGGAAUUCGUGGUGUAGCGGUGAAAUGCUUAGAUAUCACGAAGAACUCCGAUUG
Molecule: ribosomal RNA, 693 nt
Filed under: uncultured bacterium
Lineage: Bacteria
Description: bacterial SSU rRNA
Rfam family: Bacterial small subunit ribosomal RNA
Source: RNAcentral